Molecule: ribosomal RNA, 888 nt
Filed under: uncultured archaeon
Lineage: Archaea
Description: bacterial SSU rRNA
Rfam family: Archaeal small subunit ribosomal RNA
Source: RNAcentral
GAUAACCCCCUGGAAAACUGGGGAUAAUUCCGGAUAACGCAUAUUUGCUGGAAUGCUUUAUGCGUCAAAAGGAUUCGUCUGCCCAAGGAUGGGUCUGCGGCCUAUCAGGUAGUAGUGGGUGUAAUGUACCUACUAGCCAGCGACGGGUACGGGUUGUGAGAGCAAGAGCCCGGAGAUGGAUUCUGAGACAUGAAUCCAGGCCCUACGGGGCGCAGCAGGCGCGAAAACUUUACAAUGCGGGAAACCGUGAUAAGGGGACACCGAGUGCCAGCAUCAUAUGCUAGCUGUCCGGAUGUGUAAAAUACAUCCGUUAGCAAGGGCCGGGCAAGACCGGUGCCAGCCGCCGCGGUAACACCGGCGGCCCGAGUGGUGAUCGUGAUUAUUGGGUCUAAAGGGUCCGUAGCCGGUUUGGUCAGUCCUCCGGGAAAUCUGAUAGCUCAACUAUUAGGCUUUCGGGGGAUACUGCCAGACUUGGAACCGGGAGAGGUAAGAGGUACUACAGGGGUAGGAGUGAAAUCUUGUAAUCCCUGUGGGACCACCUGUGGCGAAGGCGUCUUGCCAGAACGGGUUCGACGGUGAGGGACGAAAGCUGGGGGCACAAACCGGAUUAGAUACCCGGGUAGUCUCAGCCGUAUACGAUGCGCUCUAUGUGUCUCGCAUGUGGCGACUGUGUCUCGUGUCACACGGAACAGGUGAAACGCGGGCCUGCUGCCAAAAACGCCAACGAUGAAGAAUAAUAAGAGUGGUGGGGGAGGGCCCCAACGGGGGGAGGACGCUUUUGAUCUAUUAGAAACCCACCGCACGACUCACCCCCCGGGGGUGACACAGAUGUAAUGUAGACCAAGAUUACAUGUCUUGUCCCUUGAUUAACGGGAAGAUGUUGUGCAU